RNAcentral lists this ribosomal RNA (765 nucleotides) under uncultured Streptococcus sp. RNAcentral's name for it is "bacterial SSU rRNA". It matches the Rfam family "Bacterial small subunit ribosomal RNA", at positions 28 to 776 of the family's 1533-position model. The record is from RNAcentral. Lineage: Bacteria; Bacillati; Bacillota; Bacilli; Lactobacillales; Streptococcaceae.
GACGAACGCUGGCGGCGUGCCUAAUACAUGCAAGUAGAACGCUGAGGUUUGGUGUUUACACUAGACUGAUGAGUUGCGAACGGGUGAGUAACGCGUAGGUAACCUGCCUCAUAGCGGGGGAUAACUAUUGGAAACGAUAGCUAAUACCGCAUAAGAGUAAUUAACACAUGUUAGUUAUUUAAAAGGAGCAAUUGCUUCACUGUGAGAUGGACCUGCGUUGUAUUAGCUAGUUGGUGAGGUAAAGGCUCACCAAGGCGACGAUACAUAGCCGACCUGAGAGGGUGAUCGGCCACGCUGGGACUGAGACACGGCCCAGACUCCUACGGGAGGCAGCAGUAGGGAAUCUUCGGCAAUGGACGGAAGUCUGACCGAGCAACGCCGCGUGAGUGAAGAAGGUUUUCGGAUCGUAAAGCUCUGUUGUUAGAGAAGAACGUUGGUAGGAGUGGGAAAUCUACCAAGUGACGGUAACUAACCAGAAAGGGACGGCUAACUACGUGCCAGCAGCCGCGGUAAUACGUAGGUCCCGAGCGUUGUCCGGAUUUAUUGGGCGUAAAGCGAGCGCAGGCGGUUCUUUAAGUCUGAAGUUAAAGGCAGUGGCUUAACCAUUGUACGCUUUGGAAACUGGAGGACUUGAGUGCAGAAGGGGAGAGUGGAAUUCCAUGUGUAGCGGUGAAAUGCGUAGAUAUAUGGAGGAACACCGGUGGCGAAAGCGGCUCUCUGGUCUGUAACUGACGCUGAGGCUCGAAAGCGUGGGGAGCAAACAGG